CCCCUCGAUGAUGAAGAGUCAAUCUCGCAUAUUCUCUCCGAGCUGGACAUGGAUUACCAGCCGCUGAUCUCCGCCCUCGACGUCCGCACCGAGCUACUCUCCCUCGAUCACCUCUUCGCCCUCAUGUCCAAUUUCGACC
Non-coding RNA from Triticum urartu, 139 nucleotides. The record is from Rfam. Lineage: Eukaryota; Viridiplantae; Streptophyta; Magnoliopsida; Poales; Poaceae.